Non-coding RNA from Rhopilema esculentum, 6146 nucleotides. The record is from RefSeq and is a predicted model, not a curated record. Lineage: Eukaryota; Metazoa; Cnidaria; Scyphozoa; Rhizostomeae; Rhizostomatidae.
CAGAAUAGAUGUAACAUUUUGUAUGCUCUAAAGUAUUGGUAUGUGUUUAAUCUUUACAUAAUAUCAUUGUAUUCUAUACAUACAGAAUAGAUGUAACAUUGUGUAUGCUUAAAAGAAUUGGUAUGUGUUUAAUCUUUACAUAAUAUCAUUGUAUACUAUACAUACAGAAUAGAUGUAACAUUUUGUAUGCUCUAAAGUAUUGGUAUGUGUUUAAUCUUUACAUAAUAUCAUUAUAUACUGUACAUAUAGAGCAGAUGUAACAUGGCUAAAACAAACAUAGAUAGAUGUAAAGAAAGUUUAUAAAUAUAUAUAUAUAUAUAGAAGUAAUUUAUUUAUUAUCAUUAGGUUCAACUAAAAUUGGCAAAAAGUUUGUAAGUAAACAACAAACAGUGAAAAUCUGAUUAGCUGUUGAAUGUAAUGAUAAUGGUAGAACACCAUCAAGGAUGUGGUAAUUUUUUACCCUUCCAAUGGCACGCUCCACAUGAAUGCGUACAGAAGCAAUGCGAGCAGUUUCUUCUGUCUCAUUCGCUGUCAGUUGUGCUCGUGUACCCUUGAAAGGUGGGAUGUUUAGAGUCACUCCAGGAGGAAGAAUAUCUUUGACAUCAAAGCCACGGUCAGCCAUAAGGUUAUCACCAUCCUCAAGAAGGGCUAGAACACCUGACUUAAGAGUGAUUUCUUUAUCAGAGACCUUACCAGACCAUAACUUUGAGACAAAGGUAAUUAAGCCAGAGGGUGAUAUGCCAAUUAAAACUUUCCAUGUAUUAUGGUGCUUGUAUUCGGACCAUGUCUGGGACUGUGCUUUCAUAGAUGAUGGAACCUCUGCAAAUAUUUCUGUGCAAUCAAUGAUUAAUCUCGUUGUUGGAAAAUCUUUAAAUUGAGCAGGCAUGGCUUGACGAACAACCUCUUGAGAAGGGGGUUCGAAAAGCAGUGGGAGUUCGUGGUAAAGAAAACAAAUCCAUGUUGUAAAGAUUUUUGAAACCUGACUGGAAGAAAUUCCAAAACGACCAGCUAAAUCAUCAAUAAACAAACCAACUUUCAGUCUCAUUAGAACAAGAAUGAAUUCUUCCAGAUGAGUGAGAGAGCGCUUUGGGCCACGUGAAGACUUGGUGUGAUAAUCAUCAGAGCUUUGUGAAGACUUGUUACCACGCCAAUAUUGCAUUUGCAGGACUUUAGGCUCAAAGUACUCAAAUGUUGACAUCAGUGUAGGAAAGUUUGGAAAACCAGUGUAAAACUUUGUUGCAGAACUAUCAGACUUUAACUUUCAAUAGAAAAAAGAGACAGUUUAACUUGAGCAAGCUUCAACUCUAGCUGUUCCACUUGAUUUUCUAAUUUAAUUACUUUGGCAGAGAGCUCUUGACUUUGAGAUUGCAGAGUGUCACUUUUGAUGAAUGAAUCCAUUAUAUCAUUUUCCAUCUUUUCAAAAUCAAUUGGAAGGUAUGUUGGGGAAUUUACAAAAGAGAAAUCAGUUUGUGUUGAUAUUGAUACAGUUGAUGUAGAAAGAUCUUCUUCAAACGGAGAGCCAAGUUCAGCAUCAAUUUCACCACCAAAGCUUGAAAACUGUUAAGAUGUAUCCUGAGAUGAGCUGGGGAAUAUUUGAAAACGAGCUGAUGGAGGUUUUCGUGCUUUGCAUUUGCCUCCUGUUGAAGGGACAGUACCAGCCACAAGAUUCAAGGAGGGUACAGCACCAGGAACAAGUCGCCAAUGGUUCGGGUUUCGCUUUAUAUCAGCUGACGUAAAAUGCUUUUCACACAAAAAGGUCGAGCUGCUGACCUUAAAACCAUCCAUGCCGUCAAUCCUUUUUAUCAAAGAGCACCAGCGAUGCUUUUCAGGAUUUGACUUGGGAAAAGCAAAGAAAUGUAGGCCAGUUCGAGAUCCAUCGGAGUUAUAAAAGUAGCUAUAGCAUCCAUAAGCGGCGCAUUGACGUCCAAAAGAUCGUUUUUUCUUCUUGGAUAUAUCUUGACCUAUAUCUAAUAUGUCUUCGCUGCUCAUUUUAACAAUAAAAUUUUAACGUAAUUCUAUAAAAAAGAUAAGCUACGAUUGUUAAUCCUUGUCGCACCGCACCGUAUGAAAGGAGAUGAGACGAAACUACAUCAGUUGCCUCGAUUCCAAGCGUUCGUCUCUCAUUCAAAUACUGCGUGACGUAAUUGUGAAAGGGCUCAAUUCUGGUUGGUUACUAUCAACAAAGAACGAAACUUCUGAUUCGUCUAAGUUUUAAUAUUAGAUCAUUCUGCGCUCAGUGUUUUAUAUCUUAUCUGUAGAGGCAUUGUGAUGACACAUUGCCAGCAGUGCAUGUUUGUUAAUCGCAUUUCAUAACCUAUACCGCUGCUUUCAAAUGUGAAUUCCGAAAAUCAAACACUGAGAUUUUGACUAUAGCUCGAGCUACAGUUGCUAUAGUCUGGAUCCGCUCCUGAAUACAACAGCUUCUUGUUAUUCACAUCGAUAUGCACUUUGAACCAAAAGUCAUUCUUCCUUUCUCACCUCCGCCCCUCCCAAUUUUGUCCUAAUAAUCAGUAAGCAGUUUUUUUAAGAUCAUCGAAUUCUCUGUUCUGAGGGUCAUAGUAAUUUGUUAAAUUUUAGUCUGGGAGAUGAAUCUUUAGCCAUUCUAGAAGGCUGAAUUUCAAAAAUUUUCUUUCGCGUCGCACCCAACGAUGGUGGGUCCUCCUAAAAUCUGGAAUUCACUCUCGGAAUCAAUAAAGACAGCAAUUUGAUCAAAACUUGGUUCCUUGAAAACAGUAGCCUGCGUGCAGACUUUACUAACCGUUGCGAAGGAGAGCCAUGGCUCUCCUUCGCAACGGAUAGUAAAUUCUGCACACAGGCUAUGAAAACAGGUGCGCAUGCUCGUUUUGCAGUAAAUGAACUGUCUUAUGCAAUCCUUGACACUAUUGUAAAAACUAACUUUAAAUAAUCUACAAUACAAUACAAUACAAUCACUAAAUUUGAUUCUCAGCUCCGCUCCCACGCUAACGACCUCUUGAAAUAACUUUCGCCGAAAAAAAAGUUUGUCUUCAGGUUUCUUCAAAAAUACCGACAUUUGUAAAAGAAAACCCAUUUACGAAAGGUCAGCCGCAGCCGGCCCUUGCACGUGACAGGGACGGGAUCCACGCUAGGCCUUCGGGGGGAAACUACACUGAUCUAUAAAAAGUCUUGAACGAGCUUCUAAUGUGACCAGAGUGUCGCCGUUCGAGAAGGGGGCCCCAGAACAGCCCAUGCGAGGAGACGGCCUUCUCUGUCACCCCUAGCAAUGUUUUCAGCUGCUCUGGCCUUUUUCAGCAAUCAGUAACACAGCAUUGCAGCAUUGCAGCCAGUGGCGAAGCGAGAGGUCAUGCAGGUCAUGCAAAGCAUGACCAAAAAGAUUUCUAGAAAAUUAUUUUUUACUCUAGGACCAAAAGCUCUAAAAAGUUUAGAUGGGGGUUUUUUAACAUUGAAAGUUCUCCAAAAUCAAACAAAAAUUAUUCUUUGCGUACUUUUAUGUAACUCCGUAGGCGCAAACGUAGGGUUUCUACAUUUGAAACUCAAUAAAGCUCAAGGGUUUCCAAUUUAGUCAUGCAAAUAUCACAGGGAUCCCAAUCUAGUCAUGCACUUUCAAAUGUGCAUGACUCAAACCCUAUCUUUAGUCAUGCAAAACCACGCGCAACAAUGGAAACAGCCCUGGAAACAUGAUGAUUAUCACGCUUUAGUCAUGCACUUUUGGAAUGGCAUGACCAUGACCUUGAUCGCAUGAUCGCAUCGCUUCCCUGUUCGAGUUCAAAAAGUGAGACUGAAGAGGAAGUAUGCUAGUUCACGAGGAAAGGGAUUUCGUGAAAUGUUACCCUGCAAGUAAUAUAGCAGCAACGAAAUGUGGAAAAAUAACAGUUCCAUGGUUUUAAAGGAUUGAUGUAGCAAAAUAAAAGUUGGCAGUGGAACAGAUUCUUCCUGUUGUGGACUAUGUUUGCUAACACAUAUAUUUAGGCCUGUGGGAUAUGACAUGCACGAACUAGGCCUACGGCGCCUGAUAAUAAGGCAGGCAACGCUCAUAUUGCAAGAAAAAAAAUGAAACAAACUGCCUGGUUUUAAUAUCAUUAUAUUGCUGUACAGAUUAUUGGCAAGCCCAAAGUAUUCCAUGCUUUGAUAAUGGAAUGGCUAGUGGACUUACAUGCUAAAUUUCCAUUGAAAUAUUCAGAAUGAGUGUCUCUAGAACUUGUUGUUAGUAGAAGAAACACAAAUGCUUCAUUGUUGUUGCUUUUUAGAGACAUGCAAUGCAAGUUUGAGAUACAACGAGGCAUGAAAUUAGUGUUGUCUUAACCUUUUCAGUAUUUAUCUUAUAAUGGCCUUUUUUGUUAUGAUGUUUGUGAGAUGGGAGUAUUGAGAUUGUUUCAGAGGAGAACUCUCCAUUUUCUGAUUAUAAUCUGUUUUGAUAAAUUAAGAAUAAUGAAUUAAAAAAAAUGAGGUAUAGCAUGAACAUAGACUAGGGGGCAUUAAUUUUUUUAUUUGUAAAAUUACACUAUUUGUACUUAUAAAUACAAUAGUUCUAAGUAAGGAAUUAUUGAAGGGUCAUCAAAAGUGUAUUUAUCUUGUCAGGGCAAAAAUGUGUUUAUCUUAUCCUUGUCGAAAUGUGUUUAUCUGCUCUUGAAAUAGUAAAUAUUUAUAAAUUGAAUGUCAAAGUUUUCAAGCAAGUUAACAUUAAAAACAAGUUAACAUUUUAAUUUCAGAAUUUAAAAACAUGUUUAGCACCUAAAGCCAAAGCUUCAUCAAAACAUGUCUCAAAAAAGUUCUGAAAAUUAUUCUUUUGCAAAUUUUUAAAAGUUUUAUGCCCACCUAAGGCUUUUCUGGGUAUUUUCACAAUCAGGGGCGGAUACAAACAAAACUUUAACAUUCUCAAAACCCAUUAUAACCGACCGACCACGCCCUUUUCCCGGAAACGCCCAAGAAAUUGUUUUCUGUCUUUUAUGGAUGCAAUGAUUAAAAUUAUUGAAAUUUUAAGAGGAGGAAUAGAAACAAACAAUAUGAAGUGGCAGACACCCAGGGGGAUGAAGGGAGGUAGUUGUCCCCCAACAUUUUGGGAAGACAGAGGUCUUUUAUUCUAAAAAGAAUGGACAAAUGUGAUGUCAUCUUAUCAAAAAACUAGGCUUGCCCCCUCAUAUUAUUGCCCAAAAAAACAAUGAUGCAACAUUAAAGAAUUGCUUAAUAAGCAUAGCAACACUAGUAAUUGAAAAUUGGGUAAUGCAGGGAAAAAUAACACAAAGAUCAAGACAAAAUGUUUGUGGCAAAUUGUGCUUGGUUUUCUAAUGGUUUAACAUGUGGAAUUUUAUAGAAAGAAGUGUAGUUUUGUGGACAUCCAAAUUAUUGAUAAAAAUUUAAGGACACAAGAUUCAUCAUAGAAGAGAAUUAUUAACGAAAGUUGACCAAUGAAAUUACUAAAAAUGCAGGCACUUUUCAGAGCAUACAAGCCACAGAAACUUAGACAAAGAAUUGGGUAAAAACCUUUUCUAGUAACAAAAAUAGACUGCUAAGGCUAGUCAACUUCUUUCUGGAUGCUAACUCUCUUAAAUGCAUCAUAUCUUUUGGCAUAUGAUAAUUGCACUGCUUUAGAGUAAAAUAUUUCUGCAUCAAAGUCAAAGUCUGUAUAUCUGUUUCAGAUUUGUUGUUCAUCAUUUGGAAAUACAUGGAAGAAAAAUUACUUUGGGAUGACUGUCUAUUUAGUAGAUCCAUCAAAUUUAAAUUUGAAUCUUCUGAGGCCUGACACUUUAUACUAAACUUCCCUCUGCUUAGCUUUCAGAAGCACUUUCUUUUGCCAAAGAAAAUGAAUAUAAUUUUUUGGCUUCAUAAUCUUUCCUUCCACAGAUCAGGGGCGGAUUCAGGGUGUCGCACAGGUCGCACGGAAGACCGUCAGAUUUUCAGAAUUUAGUUUAAGUCUUCAGUCAUUGAAAUAAGGCAAUCAUGUUUAUCACAAUCUUUUAUUGUCCUCCUUAAAGAUAAUACAUUUUGCUCUCUUUACACAAUAAACACAGCACCGAACUUGGUCGAUCUCACACACAAUGCUACGAUUUAAUUCAAGAUAGAAAAAAUUCCAAUACCAUCCUAGACCGUAAACAGUAUGAUUUUUAAGCAUGUCGCCCUUUGCAGGGCUCUUUGUUAUGUAAAUAUUUUACCAAAUCUCACCAAUCAAA